CGCGUAGGUGGUUUGUUAAGUUGGAUGUGAAAGCCCCGGGCUCAACCUGGGAACUGCAUCCAAAACUGGCAAGCUAGAGUAUGGUAGAGGGUGGUGGAAUUUCCUGUGUAGCGGUGAAAUGCGUAGAUAUAGGAAGGAACACCAGUGGCGAAGGCGACCACCUGGACUGAUACUGACACUGAGGUGCGAAAGCGUGGGGAGCAAACA
This 207-nucleotide ribosomal RNA is filed under the name uncultured bacterium. RNAcentral's name for it is "partial 16S ribosomal RNA". It matches the Rfam family "Bacterial small subunit ribosomal RNA", at positions 568 to 774 of the family's 1533-position model. The record is from RNAcentral.